GCAGAGACGGCGCGUGCACUUCUGGAGUAGCACAAAGGGCUCUCUAGGCUGCAGGGUAAUCCAAAUAACAGAUCCACAACUGAUAAGUCACAAGAGACAGAGCUGGCCAAAGUUCUAGGCAGGAGUACGACAGUAAAGUAUAGAGAAUAUCGGGGGGGGGGGAUGAAGGCAGUUUUAUCUAAUUUAAUAAACUAUCUUAUCUGGUACCAGGGGAAAGCAGCUCUUACGUAGCUACAGCUGCUACAUGUCUUCAUAUAUCUUUUCUGAAGAGCAUUAAAAGCCGUUCAAGUCCAGCCAGCCACCCACAAGUUACUGCCCCAAACCCACAGAACAGUUGGGGUAUAAGGAACACUUGGAAACAUUACAUGAAUAUAUUUUUUUCCCUGUGACUAAGGGAAAAACUCACUUAUCUAUGUAACAGGGCUUUGAUUUCAGUGGAGGCACACAGCUGGCAGAAAACAGUCGGCAGUGUCUGGGCUGCUUCUGAGACGACUGAAAUUCUGCAUUAUGAAUUGCAGAUUUUACGUUUGUUUUUAUAUUACAGUCAUACUUGUUUAUUACAGAUAUCAUGUUCGUGUUUUCAGGCGCAACUUUUCAGAAGUGACUUUCCAGACUCUGGAACUAUGUGCGGCGUAACAAAACAGACUGAUUUGGUGACAAGAUGUACAAAAGUUUGCCAAGAUAUCUGUGGAUACCAUAAGAAGAUGGGUGAGGAGUUUAUGACUGCCGAUGUGCACAGACCUGUUAACCGCUUAUCUUCUGGUUGCGUGAGGGCCCAAGAACAGCCCAUGUUCCAGGAGCACGGCCACAUGGUGGGGACGUGGCCCGGAUGUCCUCUGCACCGGGUGAGGUGACAAGACACGUGUGGGUGCGCUGAGGCUCUGCCAGGGCUGGGUUUCUUCCAGGUCACAAGCACGAAUCUACCUGAACCCUGGCUCCUCUUGUGCUGCAAGUCAACAAGGCCCCAUAACUUCUACUCUUUCCCCUUCUCGCUUUCUCCCUGUAGAUGCAGCUGUUUGUGGCUCCCUGGUGGGAUGCAGAAAGGGGAAGCAUGGACCCGUGGCCUCCAUGGCCUCUGGCUGAAGGAGGUGCUGAGGUGAGGGCCUUAGGGUAGGGGAACACCAAGGGGAAGGCAAAGGAGCCAGCAUCAGGCUGUGUCACUGCUCGCUCUUCCUAGCAGCUUUCCAUUGAGGCGUGUGGUCUGCGGUGGCUGUGAUAGGAACCCCAGGGAUGGACUUUCCCCACUGACUACACUUCUGGAAAAGUAGAUGUUCACAGCAGAAACACUCUGGGUCUGCAGCAGUGGCGUGCCUCUGUGCCGUGAGUCCUCAGCUCCACAGGCAGGGGAGAUCCAUCUUCAGGCCAUGGUCUCUCCCACCCUUUAGCCUCAGAAGAUGAUUCCCACAAACUUUGAGGGGAAUCCUGCCAAAUCUCCUGCCCCCACCUCAGGGAGAGCUCAGUUCCCCAGAAAGCAAUCUGAAACCUCAUUUAGGAUUUCACUGAGGCCUGCUUGGCAAUAAAAUCCCCCUGUUAUGCUGCA
RNAcentral lists this long non-coding RNA (1540 nucleotides) under Anser brachyrhynchus (Pink-footed goose). Its description in RNAcentral is "lncRNA (ENSABRG00000009026.1)". The record is from RNAcentral. Lineage: Eukaryota; Metazoa; Chordata; Aves; Anseriformes; Anatidae.